Molecule: long non-coding RNA, 253 nt
Organism: Neodiprion fabricii
Lineage: Eukaryota; Metazoa; Arthropoda; Insecta; Hymenoptera; Diprionidae
Exons: 3
Source: RefSeq, a predicted model, not a curated record
GGAGUGACUGGAGUCCAGGCGUGCGCAUUUUGAGAAACUUGAUUUUUAACUUGUGUCACAGGAUGUGAUUUACGUUCCUGAGUUCUACGCUUUCGAUUAGAUUUUCUUUUUUUCGAACCGCACUUACAUGAAAUACAAUCAUUUUAAUAAAUCUAAUAUUACUUGAAUUUUCAAUUUGAGUAUUAGGUUCCCUCCAUUUAUUUAAUCGAACAUCAUUGAAAAUUUGCGAAAUGAAUUCUGAUAAUUAUUCGGA